GGGGGGUUCGACUCCCGCUCUGAAUACCA
RNAcentral lists this unclassified non-coding RNA (29 nucleotides) under Dictyostelium discoideum. Lineage: Eukaryota; Evosea; Eumycetozoa; Dictyosteliales; Dictyosteliaceae. The record is from RNAcentral.